GCGCCCAUAGCUCAGUUGGAUAGAGUGUUGGUUUCCGAAGCCAAAGGUCGCAGGUUCGACUCCUGCUGGGCGCGCCA
RNAcentral lists this transfer RNA (77 nucleotides) under Methylobacillus glycogenes. RNAcentral's name for it is "tRNA-Arg". It matches the Rfam family "tRNA". Rfam says of the family: Transfer RNA (tRNA) molecules are approximately 80 nucleotides in length. Their secondary structure includes four short double-helical elements and three loops (D, anti-codon, and T loops). Further hydrogen bonds mediate the characteristic L-shaped molecular structure. tRNAs have two regions of fundamental functional importance: the anti-codon, which is responsible for specific mRNA codon recognition, and the 3' end, to which the tRNAs corresponding amino acid is attached (by aminoacyl-tRNA synthetases). tRNAs cope with the degeneracy of the genetic code in two manners: having more than one tRNA (with a specific anti-codon) for a particular amino acid; and 'wobble' base-pairing, i.e. permitting non-standard base-pairing at the 3rd anti-codon position. RNAcentral also lists the same sequence under 2 other names. The record is from RNAcentral. Lineage: Bacteria; Pseudomonadati; Pseudomonadota; Betaproteobacteria; Nitrosomonadales; Methylophilaceae.